Molecule: long non-coding RNA, 889 nt
Organism: Panthera uncia (snow leopard)
Lineage: Eukaryota; Metazoa; Chordata; Mammalia; Carnivora; Felidae
Exons: 4
Source: RefSeq, a predicted model, not a curated record
CUCAUGAAUGGGUGAGAUUCAGGGGAGGAGGAAUCCAACACAGGAGGGAGCGUAUUUGUGUUUCAGAAUUUGCCAAGGGAACCACCGGACGAGCCCGGCUAGGCUUUUCAACGAGAACACGCGAGAAACACCUCCAGGGAACAGGAUGGAGUCUUCCUCUCCUGUUUCUGGUGUCGAAGACAUAUUUUCCUUCUCUGCAACUAUUUAUUUAGUAUGAAGGAAAAACCCUCUCCUGUGCACUGUCUCAUCUACUUCCCAGGACAGGCCUGAGUGGGGACUGUUGUUCCCUUGAUGUCACCGAAGAGACAAUGGAGGUUGUGACGCGUAGAUCAUCCCAUCGCUGAAAAGAAGCAAAAGUGGACGGUUUUCAUCCGUAAUUCGUAGUUUUUCAUUUUGAGCUAGGACUGAACUUUAAAAAAGCCAACUACAAGGAAAUAAAAACAGUCAUACAGAAAAAAAAAUUUAACUAUAAAUGCACAGUUGAACAAAUCAUCACAAAGCAGCUGCCUGUGCUGAUAAGAUUCAUCCACAUUGCUGAGUGAAGCCAUGGCACGUUCCUCCUCUUUAUUCCUACAGUAUAUUCCAUUUGGGGGCUGUAUCCUGAUUUAUUCGUCCGCACUAGGCGUGCCCUCUGCCAGACUUUGGCUAAUUAAAAGAGGUGAAGGUACGCCAGGGGCGAGCCAACGUUUCAAGAAGCCUUGCAUGUUUCCGUCUGCUCUCCUGUACCUCUGUCAUCACCGUGAGAAGGUCGUGGGCAUGGUAGGCUGCUCGUGGAAAGAGCGUGAUGAGAGAUGUACCGAACAGAGUAAACUCAAAGAAGCAUGAGCCCGACCAAGCUCAGCGAACUUGAGUGGAUAAACAAUAAAUGCUUAUUGUUGCAUGAUGCUGA